UACAGAGGUCUCAAGCGUUGUUCGGAUUCAUUGGGCGUAAAGGGUGCGUAGGCGGCGCGGUAAGUCGGGUGUGAAAUCUCGGAGCUUAACUCCGAAACUGCAUUCGAUACUGCCGUGCUUGAGGACUGGAGAGGAGACUGGAAUUUACGGUGUAGCGGUGAAAUGCGUAGAUAUCGUAAGGAAGACCAGUGGCGAAGGCGGCCAUCUGGCCCAUUUUUGACGCUGAGGCGCGAAAGCGUGGGGAGCAAACAGG
This 253-nucleotide ribosomal RNA is filed under the name uncultured bacterium. RNAcentral's name for it is "partial 16S ribosomal RNA". It matches the Rfam family "Bacterial small subunit ribosomal RNA", at positions 524 to 776 of the family's 1533-position model. The record is from RNAcentral.